GACGAACGCUGGCGGCGUGCCUAAUACAUGCAAGUCGAGCGAAGUUUUUCUGGUGCUUGCACUAGAAAAACUUAGCGGCGAACGGGUGAGUAACACGUAAAGAACCUGCCUCAUAGACUGGGACAACUAUUGGAAACGAUAGCUAAUACCGGAUAACAGUAUUUCUCGCAUGAGAGAUAUUUAAAAGUUGGUUAUGCUAACACUAUGAGAUGGCUUUGCGGUGCAUUAGCUAGUUGGUGGGGUAAAGGCCCACCAAGGCGACGAUGCAUAGCCGACCUGAGAGGGUGAUCGGCCACACUGGGACUGAGACACGGCCCAGACUCCUACGGGAGGCAGCAGUAGGGAAUCUUCCGCAAUGGGCGAAAGCCUGACGGAGCAACGCCGCGUGAGUGAAGAAGGAUUUCGGUUCGUAAAGCUCUGUUGUUAGGGAAGAAUGGAUAUGUAGUAACUAUACAUGUAAGAGACAGUACCUAACCAGAAAGCCACGGCUAACUACGUG
RNAcentral lists this ribosomal RNA (499 nucleotides) under uncultured bacterium. RNAcentral's name for it is "partial 16S ribosomal RNA". It matches the Rfam family "Bacterial small subunit ribosomal RNA", at positions 28 to 507 of the family's 1533-position model. The record is from RNAcentral.